GCAAGUCGAGGGGUAACAGGGUAGCUUGCUAUUGCUGACGACCGGCGCACGGGUGCGUAACGCGUAUAGAAUCUACCUUGUACUGAGGGAUAGCCUUUGGAAACGAAGAUUAAUACCUCAUAGUAUACAAAUUCGGCAUCGGGUUUGUAUUAAAGGUUACGGUAUAAGAUGACUAUGCGUUCUAUUAGCUAGAUGGUGUGGUAACGGCGUACCAUGGCGACGAUAGAUAGGGGCCCUGAGAGGGGGAUC
This 249-nucleotide ribosomal RNA is filed under the name uncultured bacterium. Its description in RNAcentral is "partial 16S ribosomal RNA". It matches the Rfam family "Bacterial small subunit ribosomal RNA", at positions 57 to 305 of the family's 1533-position model. The record is from RNAcentral.